UACGUAGGGUGCAAGCGUUGUCCGGAAUUAUUGGGCGUAAAGGGCUCGUAGGCGGUCCGUCACGUCGGCUGUGAAAACCCGGGGCUCAACCCCGGGCCUGCAGUCGAUACGGGCGGACUAGAGUUCGGCAGGGGAGACUGGAAUUCCUGGUGUAGCGGUGAAAUGCGCAGAUAUCAGGAGGAACACCGGUGGCGAAGGCAGCCCCCUGGGAUAACACUGACGCUCAUGCACGAAAGCGUGGGGAGCAAACAGG
RNAcentral lists this ribosomal RNA (253 nucleotides) under uncultured bacterium. RNAcentral's name for it is "partial 16S ribosomal RNA". It matches the Rfam family "Bacterial small subunit ribosomal RNA", at positions 524 to 776 of the family's 1533-position model. The record is from RNAcentral.